GGCGGCGUGCCUAACACAUGCAAGUCGAACGAGAAAGUGGAGCAAUCCAUGAGUAAAGUGGCGACCGGGUGAGUAACACGUGACUAACCUACCUUCGAGUGGGGGAUAACAUCGGGAAACCGAUGCUAAUACCGCAUAACAUCGCAAGAUCAAAGCAGCAAUGCGCUGGAAGAGGGGGUCGCGGCUGAUUAGCUAGUUGGCGGGGUAACGGCCCACCAAGGCGAAGAUCGGUAGCCGGCCUGAGAGGGCGCACGGCCACACUGGAACUGAAACACGGUCCAGACUCCUACGGGAGGCAGCAGUGGGGAAUUUUGCGCAAUGGGGGAAACCCUGACGCAGCAACGCCGCGUGGAGGAUGAAAUAUCUUGGUAUGUAAACUCCUUUCGAUGGGGAAGAUUAUGACGGUACCCAUANAANAAGCCCCGGCUAACUUCGUGCCAGCAGCCGCGGUAAUACGA
RNAcentral lists this ribosomal RNA (458 nucleotides) under uncultured Acidobacteriota bacterium. Its description in RNAcentral is "bacterial SSU rRNA". It matches the Rfam family "Bacterial small subunit ribosomal RNA", at positions 38 to 528 of the family's 1533-position model. The record is from RNAcentral. Lineage: Bacteria; Pseudomonadati; Acidobacteriota.